UGCAAAGUGCCCAGACCCUUCAGGAAUGA
This 29-nucleotide non-coding RNA is filed under the name Rattus norvegicus (Norway rat). Lineage: Eukaryota; Metazoa; Chordata; Mammalia; Rodentia; Muridae. The record is from RNAcentral.